GACGAACGCUGGCGGAGUGCUUAACACAUGCAAGUCGAACGGAAAGGCCUUGUUGCUGUGGUGUGCUAGAGUGGCCAACGGAUGAGUAACUCGUGAGUUUCCUGUCCUUGCCUUUGGGACAAAUUCAGGCAACUGGUGCUAACACCGGCUAUUAGCUCCUGCUGUGUGGCGGGGGAUGGAAAGUUUCGGUGGUUGGGAGUUGAGCCGCGGGUUAUCAUCUUGUUGGUGGGGUAGUGGCUUACACAGGUGUUGGCGGGUCGACGGCCUGAGAGGGUGACCGGCGACAUUGGGACUGUGAUACGGCCCAGACACCUACGGGAGGCAGCGGUGUGGAGAAUUGCACAAUGGGCGGAAGCCUGAUGCAGCAACGCCGCGUGCGGGAUGACGGCCUUCGGGUUGUGAACCGCUUUCGCCGGUGACGAGGCGUGAGUGACGGUAAUGGGUAAAGAGGCACCGGCUAACUACGUG
Molecule: ribosomal RNA, 468 nt
Filed under: uncultured bacterium
Lineage: Bacteria
Description: partial 16S ribosomal RNA
Rfam family: Bacterial small subunit ribosomal RNA
Source: RNAcentral